GGCGCAUUCCGCCGCCCGCAGGCUUGCGGGGAAACUUCCUUAUUAUUGUGACGCCGAAAUCGGAGAAACCCCGCGCCAGACCAGUGGAGCUGUCACAGUCGGAAUCCCAAGCAGCGGUUCGGUGGCCGCCACGAUCUGCCAGGUGAGGUGGAACCAUUCUGGCUUGUGGUACAGAUGCCAAGUGUGUGACCUGUGCUCUCUCUAGGCUACAUGACUCCCUGAAGGACCAGAACAAUGUUAUGUUGGGGAUAUUGGUCUCUGGGCCAACCUGGGAUCAGCACCAACCUGCAGGGGAUUGUGGCCGAGCCACAGGUGUGUGGCUUCAUAUCCGACAGAAGCGUCAAGGAGGUGGCCUGUGGAGGAAACCACUCCGUGUUCCUCCUGGAGGAUGGGGAAGUUUACACGUGUGGUUUGAACACCAAGGGGCAGCUGGGCCACGAGAGGGAAGGAAACAAGCCAGAGCAAAUUGGAGCUUUGGCAGAUCAACACAUCGUGCAUGUGGCGUGUGGCGAGUCCCACAACCUGGCCCUCAGUGACCGGGGCCAGCUGUUUUCUUGGGGUGCGGGGAGUGACGGCCAACUAGGGCUCAUGACCACCGAGGACUCUGUAGCAGUGCCCAGGUUAAUACAAAAGCUGAACCAGCAGACAAUAUUACAAGUUUCCUGUGGCAACUGGCAUUGCUUGGCUCUUGCAGCUGAUGGUCAGUUCUUCACAUGGGGGAAGAACAGCCAUGGGCAGCUGGGCCUGGGAAAGGAGUUCCCCUCCCAGGCCAGCCCGCAGAGGGUGAGGUCCCUGGAGGGGAUCCCGCUGGCGCAGGUGGCUGCAGGAGGGGCCCACAGCUUUGCCCUGUCUCUCUCAGGAGCUGUUUUUGGCUGGGGGAUGAAUAAUGCAGGACAGCUAGGGCUCAGUGAUGAGGAAGAUCGAGAGUCUCCUUGCCAUGUGAAGCUUCUACGAACACAAAAAGUUGUCUAUAUUAGUUGUGGAGAAGAGCAUACAGCAGUUCUCACAAAGAGUGGAGGUGUGUUUACCUUUGGUGCUGGUUCCUGCGGGCAGCUUGGACACGACUCCAUGAAUGAUGAGGUUAAUCCGAGAAGAGUUCUGGAGCUGAUGGGCAGUGAAGUAACGCAGAUUGCUUGUGGCAGACAACAUACCCUAGCCUUCGUGCCUUCUUCUGGACUCAUCUAUGCAUUUGGUUGUGGAGCGAGAGGUCAAUUAGGAACUGGACACACUUGUAAUGUCAAGUGCCCAUCUCCCGUGAAAGGUUACUGGGCUGCCCAUAGUGGCCAGCUUUCAGCCAGGGCUGAUCGCUUUAAAUAUCACAUUGUUAAGCAGAUUUUCUCUGGAGGAGACCAAACUUUUGUACUUUGCUCCAAAUAUGAGAAUUCUUCUCCUGCUGUUGACUUCAGGACGAUGAACCAAGCACAUUACACCAGUUUAAUAAAUGAUGAAACCAUAGCAGUUUGGAGACAAAAACUCUCAGAACACAACAAUGCAAAUACCAUCAAUGGUGUUGUUCAGAUAUUGUCUUCUGCAGCCUGUUGGAAUGGAAGUUUUCUUGAAAAAAAAAUUGAUGAGCAUUUUAAAACAAGUCCCAAAAUCCCUGGGAUUGACCUGAACUCAACUAGAGUGUUAUUUGAGAAGUUAAUGAGCUCUCAGCACUCCAUGAUUCUAGAGCAGAUCCUGAAUAGCUUUGAAAGUUGCCUGAUUCCUCAGUUGUCGAGUUCACCACCAGAUGUUGAAGCAAUGAGAAUCUACUUAAUACUACCUGAGUUUCCCCUGCUUCAGGAUUCCAAGUACUACAUAACGUUGACUAUCCCCCUGGCGAUGGCCAUUCUGCGGCUGGAUACAAACCCCAGCAAAGUCUUAGAUAACUGGUGGUCUCAGGUAUGCCCGAAAUAUUUCAUGAAGCUGGUAAACCUCUAUAAAGGUGCAGUCGUUUAUCUCCUGAGAGGAAGAAAGACAUUCUUAAUUCCCGUACUGUUUAACAAUUAUGUUACAGCAGCUCUGAAGCUCUUGGAGAAGUUAUACAAGGUGAAUCUUAAAGUGAAGCAUGUGGAAUAUGAUACAUUUUACAUUCCUGAGAUUUCCAAUCUCGUGGACAUUCAGGAAGACUACCUCAUGUGGUUCUUGCAUCAAGCAGGCAUGAAGGCUAGACCAUCUAUAAUACAGGAUGCUGUUACACUUUGUUCCUACCCUUUUAUCUUUGAUGCCCAAGCCAAGACCAAAAUGCUGCAGACUGAUGCUGAAUUGCAGAUGCAGGUGGCGGUCAAUGGAGCCAACCUGCAGAAUGUCUUUAUGCUUCUCACCUUGGAGCCUCUGCUGGCCAGAAGCCCCUUCCUGGUCCUUCACGUUCGCAGGAACAACCUUGUCGGAGAUGCCCUAAGAGAGCUGAGCAUUCAUUCUGAUAUUGAUUUGAAAAAGCCUCUCAAAGUCAUUUUUGAUGGUGAAGAAGCAGUGGAUGCCGGUGGUGUCACAAAAGAGUUCUUUCUUUUACUGUUAAAAGAACUGUUGAAUCCCAUCUAUGGAAUGUUUACCUACUAUCCAGAUUCAAAUCUCUUGUGGUUUUCAGAUACGUGUUUUGUAGAGCACAACUGGUUUCACUUGAUUGGCAUAACCUGUGGCCUCGCCAUCUACAACUCCACCGUGGUCGACCUGCACUUCCCGCUGGCGCUUUAUAAGAAGCUGCUGAACGUGAAGCCUGGCCUGGAAGACUUGAAGGAGCUGUCACCCACGGAAGGAAGGAGUCUUCAAGAACUUUUAGAUUACCCUGGGGAAGAUAUUGAGGAGACUUUCUGCCUCAACUUUACGAUUUGUCGAGAAAGCUAUGGAGUGAUUGAACAGAAGCAGCUGAUACCUGGGGGAGACAAGGUGACCGUGUGCAAGGAUAACAGGCAGGAAUUUGUGGAAGCUUAUGUGAAUUAUGUCUUCCAAAUCUCAGUUCACGAAUGGUACACAGCCUUCUCCAGCGGCUUCCUAAAGGUGUGUGGUGGCAAAGUGCUUGAGCUCUUCCAGCCUUCAGAACUGAGGGCCAUGAUGGUGGGGAACAGCAACUACAACUGGGAGGAACUGGAAGAGACUGCCAUCUACAGGGGUGAUUACUCAGCCGCACAUCCCACUGUGAGACUAUUUUGGGAAACAUUUCAUGAGUUCCCACUGGAAAAGAAGAAGAAGUUUCUCUUGUUCCUGACGGGUAGUGAUCGGAUUCCCAUCUACGGCAUGGCCAGCCUGCAGAUCGUCAUCCAGUCCACAGCCAGCGGGGAGGAGUACUUGCCUGUGGCCCACACUUGCUACAACCUUCUUGACCUCCCCAAAUACAGCAGCAAAGAGGUCCUGAGUGCACGGCUGACCCAGGCCCUGGACAACUACGAGGGGUUCAGCUUGGCCUGAGGCUCCCCAGCUUGCCCCAGAUUUCCCUUCCUUCCUCAGCGUCCACCUUGAGGCCCAUAUAGAAAAUCAUGGGCGUAGUUUGCUUUCAGUAGAAGAAUUACAUCAUCUACCCAAGUAAUCUAAUAGAAGAUCAAAUUUCGUUCCUGCCACGAGAAAGGAGAACUGCUGGGGAAAUGAAGAGGAAAGCAGGGUAGAGGAGCAGGUGGCAUUAAGAAUGGAUAGGAUUCCAGAAGCUUGUGACAGGUGACAAGGCAUUUCCCGUGGAGGGGCAGGCCUUAGCAAGGGCUUGAAGUGGGAGCGUAUUUAGAGAAAGGCCAGGAACAAUUUGAAGGGAGCAUCAGAGGAAACAGAAUAAUGGUAAGUAUGACUGGGGAGAAAGAAGGCAGGUUUGGGGCUGAGGAACCAGGCUAAGGCCUUGAAACGUCCAAAUGUUCAGAACCUCGGGGUAGAGGAAGGAGGCAGUGAUAUGACUUGAGCCUGGUUUUAAGACGGAAACGUGGAUGGGGGAUACAUGUGGAGGAAUUGGAAUGAGGAGGACAGAGCAGAAAGACAGCAACUGAGAGCAGUGUAAACAGACGUGUGGACAGGAGAAAGGGGAGUGGGCGACGAGAGCCUUAAGGGAAAAGGAGAAAUUAAAGUUGAAUCCAAGACUUACUAAUCUAACAGCUGAUGCUUACCUCACUUGUUCACAGCAAAAAACUUUUUUUCAAAAAAAUUUAAAAAUAAUUACUAUAUACUGUACUGUAAUGUACUGUUAGUAAUGGAAAGCUACUGUUCUCUUUACCACCUUUAAACCAUUAAGUUCCGUUCAACAAACACUUAAUAGCAUAUAUAUGUGCUAAGUUUGAGGGACAAAAAAGCCUGUUCCAUUUAAAUUUCUAGGCCUCCAGAAUCCUCAUCCAUGAAAUAAGGAGUUUGGACCAGAUAAUUUCUAAGGUCCCUUUGAGCUCUGAAAUUCUAAAAUCUCAUCACCAAAAGCAGUGCCUGCACAUAGAUAUGCUCAAUAAAUUCUUCCAGAUAUUUGUUGCAUGAGUGAAGUUUUCUAAAAAUGAUUUUUUUCUGGCAUAUUUUCCUCUUUUCCCUUCAUCACUUAGUUUUGGAAGAUUCUAGAUAGGCAUUUCUAGAUUUACUUACCUUCCUCGCCUGCAGACAUUUGGAAGUUUCUCCACUGUAUUCAUAAAUGUACCAGUUUAAUGAAAAAAUAAUUUCAUUAAAAUAAGGCAGUAGGUGGGAUUCAAUGAAAGUGUAACCAGGCAAUGUAGCCAAUUCUGAUAGCUCCAUUUCCAUGUGAAAGCUUUUUGAUGACUAGACUAGUUCUGUAUUAAUAACCUUGGAGAGCUGGGGUUGGCAAACUAUAGCCCAUGAGCUAAAAUAGGUUUUAUAUUUUUAAAAUAUAAAAAAAGAAAAAAGAGAUACAUGACAGCAGUUGUCUGGCCUACACAGCCUAACAUAUUAAUACGUGGCCCUUAAUGGAGAAAGAUUUGCCCCAACUCUUUGAGAUCAGACUUGCAGGAAUCAUAACAAUAGAGCUGGUAACUUACUGAAGUCUUAGGAGGAACGUGGUCAUAGCUGACACUGAACCAGAGAGAACAAAUGUGUGGGCCUUUCUGCCACAGGGGUGAGAAGAAUCAAGCUGUGUCUAAGAUUAAAGCACAGAAAUAGGCACCAAGGUUUUAACUGUCAUAAUCACCACCAGGUACUGACUGUGCGCUGGACCCUGCGCUGAGCAUUAUCUAUGCACUAAUCAGUUUAACUGCCACCUCUGCCCUCCUGGCUCGACCACUUACCAGCUGUGUGGCCUUGGGCAGGUUACUUAACCUCUUGCACCUCAUUUUCUUCCUAUUGAAAAUGGGAAUAGAAAUAGUGCCUACCUCAUGGAGUUGUUAAUGAGAAUUAAGUUAAUUAAUUAAGGGAAAGCAUGUGGGACAGUGCCUAGCAUGUAACAAACUCUCAGUAACUAAAAUUACUAUUCUUACCCUAAUUUUUCACAUGAAAAAAUGAAUGUUUAGAGAAAAUUUGUUCACUGUCAGAGUGGUGGGACAUGGACCAUUAAUCUGUACUGUGCCAAGCUGCUAGAGGUGGGCAGCAAAUUUGACUAGAAAUGGGUCACUAGAGAUGAGGUUGCCUAGUGGCCAAAUGAAAGAGACAUCAUGAUGUAGCAGGUCACUUCCUUGACCACCCAUCUGCAGAGAUGCUGCAGGGAGCUUUGUUUUCCUGCCACUGUACAGUUCAGUAAGGCAGUUCUAUGACUGUGGGACUAAAAUACGGAUCAGGUGUGCUGUUCCUGUAGCAUCCGCAGUAGGUCUCAUUGGAGCUGUUGUCAUUGAGUACGGGGUCUCUGUUGGCAUUCAGUGGUCAGCUAAGUAUCUGUUAACUUCUCCCAGACCAUAGUUUGGAAGUGAUGGCCUAACAGUAGCUUCCAGGUUGGAGAACGUGUGGAGGUACUGGGAGCGUGGUGUGCCUGAAGAGGGCAUCACAGCUCCAUGCCCCUUCCCGCAUACCUUCCAUCUGGCUGCUCCUGAGUUGCAGGACUGGAGGUGACAUCAUCAAAAUGGCAACGUAGGAUACCCAGCCUCCAUCACCCUACAAAGAUCGACAAUUAGACAGCUAUAUAUAAACAGAGCACCGGAGUGCACUUAAGAAACUUCAGCACUGCAGUGGAACCAAAAAUCCCUGAGACUAACCAUACAAAAAGGGGAAGGCAGCUUCAUUCUGCCUGCAUCAUCCUGUCCCCAAAACUAGCAUUGCUCAGCACCAAGAGGGAGCUCCCAGCUAGAUAGAGGACCCUUCACUAGGAAAGGGGGAGUGGGGUGAGUGACUAGCUUCCCCAGCCUUUUGGGGCACCACAUGAAGGUGCCACUUCAGAUUUACCCCACCCAGAGACUGGCAAAGCUGAGACACACAGAGAUGGAACAAGGAAGAAAAGUGGGAGCUACCAGAAGCAGGCACACAGCAGAAGCUACUAUGGUUUCUAGACACCUGCUCUAAGACAUAUCCAGCAGCUUUCACCACUGAAGAAAACGAGAGACAGCACAGCCAUCAUGGACUCCCUGCAGAUUUCACCAGCUUUCACCCACAGUUAUUUGCAUUCGCUGGCAUCAGCCACCUGAGUCCUACCUACUUUCUCCCUGCCCUGAUCUGGCCCCUGCUAGAGCCCAGGUACUGCACCAACAGCCAGCCCAGGCCUAUUUGUGAAUAUAAGACAUGAACCUAGAUGCCCCAUCGCCAUGUGUGCAUUUGGGGCAAGCCCCUUCAGCUGUGCACUUGCACACUGCCAGCCUGACACCUGUCACUGGCUCCCACUGCUGUGUGCACACCUAGGGGGAGACCGCAGCCACAGGAGAGCAUGCAGAUAGCUAGGGGCUCUUGUAGCUGCCAGGGUGCCUGCAGCUGGCCCUGGCCUUUGCUGCCUGCCCUGGCACCCACCACUAGGUGCAUGCCUGCAACUGGCCCCAGCCACUACAUAGGUACGUAUAGCUGACCCCUGUAGCUGAGUUGUGUACACACCACAGGCAUCGGCCACCACCACUGCCUGUUCCAGUCACUGGAUCUAGAGGUGCUGCUCAGAACCCCAACAGCCACUGUAGCCUUUGCAGACUCCCUGCAGCAUUCAUCAAGGACCACACAGUUGAUGCUGUAGACCCCAGCAACCUGAGCCAAAGAGAGACCAUGCCUCUUGGACCCCUUGCUGCCACAUGCCCCCACACUUGGUACCCUGCACCACUAGACCUGGGUCACAGCAUGUUGCAGUGUGCCCACUCCCUCUCCAACCCUUGUAGGUGUGAAAGUCUUCACUUACCAAAGUCAGUCCAUAAUGUCUGUAAGAGAUGACUGCUUCUUGAAAUGCAGACACUCAUGCAAGGCUACAGGGAUCAUGAAGAAUCAGGGAGACCUCUCCAUCAAAGGAAUACAGUCAACCUCCAGUAACUGGCCCUAAAGAAACAGAGAUCCAGGAUUGCCUGAUAGUUUAAGAAAAUUGUCUAAAGAUGCUCUGAGGACUACAAGAGAACAAACAAUUUAAUCAUAUCUGGAAAAUAGGACAAGAACAAAUAAGACGUACAUCAAAGAGACAGAAAAUCUAAAAAAGAAAUUUUGGAGCUGAAGAAUACAAUGACUGAAUUGAAAAAUUCAGUAGAGAGCUUCAACAUCAGACUUGAAGAUGAAGAAGAAAGAUUCAGUGAGUCAGAUCAACUGAAAUUAUCCAGAGGAGCAAAAAGAAUGAAAAGGACUGAAGAACACCUAUAGGACUUAGGAGACCCUGUUAAGAGAAACAAUGUACAUAUUAUUGGAGUUACAAAAGGAGAAGAGACAGAGAAAGAGGUAGAAAGCUUAUUUAAAGAAAUAAUGGCUGAGAAUUUCUCAAACCUGGGAGAAAUAUGGACUUCCAAGUUCAUGAAAUUAAUAGCUUACUCCAAAAUUUCAUUCUAAAAUGAUCUUUUCUCAUAAGGCUAUCAGCAGAUUUCCCAGUAGAGACCUUGCAUCCAGGAGAGAAUGGAGUGAUAUAUUCAAGUACUGAAAGAAAGAAAAAAAAAACCUGCCAACCAAGAACCCAGCAAAGCUGUCCUUCAGAAAUGAAGCCUCUUCCAUGAAUUGUUUCAAAGGCAGCUGAGCACAGAGCACCAGCCUGUUCUUCAACCCAGCAUCACAGGCACAUCCAGCUUGCGCCCAGUUAGUGUCACCUUCGGGUGCCCUCCCUGGAGACAGAACAACAAAUCUUAAUCCUCAUGAGGCUUCUGAGGAGCUCGGGGAGCAGCGUGAUUCCUUACCGAAGGGAAGGGUCAGAGGCCACAGGCUGGUUCCAUCACACAUUCUGGAGGCUGUCAAAAAUUUCAGAACGUUCACAGUUAAAAAUAUUUUAUUGAAGUUUAUACAAAAUACAGUCAUGUACAAAAAUGUACAUAACAGUUUUUUAAAAUUCGGUUUACAUUUAUAAAAGGAACAACCGUCAUUUCAAAUAACGUUCUGCUUCCGUGUCAUGUAAACAUUGCUCUGGGCCCAUGUUAUUUUACUAAAAUUGUAUCCACCCUUGGAGAUGUCAUGAUCGUGUGGAUGCCUUCAGAUUGAGAAUUCGAUCUGACACACGUAUUUCUCGAGCUGCGCAUGUGACCACGACUGGCUGGAUUCCAGGCAAAAUGAGAUCCCCUAGAGACAUAAGUGCAGUUUCAUAGCAGUACGGACUUGCAUAGCUGUGCGGGUUUCAUGCGGCUGCACACCUGCGUAGACCUGUAAGCCUCAGCCUGUCUACACACACCUAUUAUGAAGGACUGUGGUGGGAGAGCGCAAAUACCCACGAGGACGCAGUCCCUACCAGGGAAAGUAGCCAGCGCCACAGUGCGCGCACGUCACCCGGCUCUGGAGCCUGCGGGGGCGGCCACGCUGAGACGUCAGCAUACACAAUUUCAGUACACACAGAUCUGAAAAUACGCUUAGCCUAUCUUUUGACAAAAUGUCGUUUACAGUAGAUUUUGAAGGUCGUGUGGGGAAAAAAUAAAAAGCAAGGGGAUUAAUGAAAGGAGAGCACAUUCUGGCUUCUGCUAAACCCACGGGCUUCCAAGGAAACACUGCUUCAACGUUUUAGUCCAGUUUUACCCUCCCUGUUGGUUUAACCAAACGGAUACUAUGAAGAAUAUCACAAAGGUGUGGGUUUUGGCGCAGAAACCGCCUCUCCUAACCCAGGGAGAAACCCCCUCAGGAAGCAGUGUGUCAGGAAGCCCCGCCUUGAAAGCAAAACCGAUUUAGACUACAACCAGAUUUGCACAAAGAGUUAUGGCAUUCAACUAUAAAUGUACCAAUGGUAGAAAAUGAUAUACCUUUAAGAAAAAUUGCAUCUUUGUGAUCAGAUUAAGAAUCUCUUAAAAAACUAAUAAACUAAAUUUUGAUUUUCCUUGCA
RNA transcript from Camelus dromedarius (Arabian camel), 9277 nucleotides. It is a transcript of the gene named HECT and RLD domain containing E3 ubiquitin protein ligase 3, with no coding region annotated. The record is from RefSeq and is a predicted model, not a curated record. The transcript has 28 exons. NCBI's taxonomy places the organism in Eukaryota, Metazoa, Chordata, Mammalia, Artiodactyla, Camelidae.